RNAcentral lists this ribosomal RNA (878 nucleotides) under Trichoderma citrinoviride. RNAcentral's name for it is "LSU rRNA". It matches the Rfam family "Eukaryotic large subunit ribosomal RNA", at positions 42 to 950 of the family's 3401-position model. The record is from RNAcentral. Lineage: Eukaryota; Fungi; Ascomycota; Sordariomycetes; Hypocreales; Hypocreaceae.
AUCAAUAAGCGGAGGAAAAGAAACCAACAGGGAUUGCCCCGAUAACGGCGAGUGAAGCGCAACAGCUCAAAUUUGNAACUCGGCCCUUUUGGGUCCGAGUUGUAAUUUGUAGAGGAUGNUUUUGGCAAGGUGCCGCCCGAGUUCCCUGGAACGGGACGCCACAGAGGGUGAGAGCCCCGUCUGGCUGGCCACCGAGCCUCUGUAAAGCUCCUUCGACGAGUCGAGUAGUUUGGGAAUGCUGCUCAAAAUGGGAGGUAUAUGUCUUCUAAAGCUAAAUAUUGGCCAGAGACCGAUAGCGCACAAGUAGAGUGAUCGAAAGAUGAAAAGCACCUUGAAAAGAGGGUUAAAUAGUACGUGAAAUUGUUGAAAGGGAAGCGCUUGUGACCAGACUUGGGCGCGGCGGAUCAUCCGGGGUUCUCCCCGGUGCACUUCGCCGUGUCCAGGCCAGCAUCAGUUCGUCGCGGGGGAAAAAGGCUUCGGGAACGUGGCUCCCCUGGGAGUGUUAUAGCCCGUUGCAUAAUACCCUGCGGUGGACUGAGGACCGCGCAUCUGCAAGGAUGCUGGCGUAAUGGUCACCAGCGACCCGUCUUGAAACACGGACCAAGGAGUCGUCUUCGUAUGCGAGUGUUCGGGUGUCAAACCCCUACGCGUAAUGAAAGUGAACGCAGGUGAGAGCUUCGGCGCAUCAUCGACCGAUCCUGAUGUUCUCGGAUGGAUUUGAGUAAGAGCAUACGGGGCCGGACCCGAAAGAAGGUGANCUAUGCCUGUAUAGGGUGAAGCCAGAGGAAACUCUGGUGGAGGCUCGCAGCGGUUCUGACGUGCAAAUCGAUCGUCAAAUAUGGGCAUGGGGGCGAAAGACUAAUCGAACCUUCUAGUAG